AUUUCCCAUCGCAGCAGCAGCAGCAGCAGCAGCAGCAGCUCUAUGGCCUCCCGAAACCCCACCUGCAGCACCUUCAUCCUCUUCUUCUUCGUCUCCACCACUCUCGUCUGCGCUCUUCGACGACCAGGUCUCGGAGGACAAGUCGCCCGCUCGAGUGUCCUUCCACUGAAGGAGGAGGCAGAGCAACGUCGAUGCAAAACCUGUGUUGCAGGUCUCGGAGGACAAGUCGCCCGCUCGAAUGUCCUUCCACUGAAGGAGGAGGAGGGUGACAGGAGGGUGAUGAUCGGGUCCAGGGCUCCCAUUUGCACGUACAACGAGUGCAGAGGCUGUCGAUUCAAGUGCAGCGCCGAGCAAGUUCCUGUUGACGCCGGCGACCCCAUGAACAGCGCCUACCGCUACAGAUGCGUGUGUCAUAGGUGAUGGAUGGUGGAACUCAAUGAGAAUGAGAGUGUUCUUGUCCCUGGUCUUCUUCCCGUGCCUGUACUCGAUCCUAGUGAAGUGAUCCUAUAUUACCUGUCACAAUCCUCUCCACCUCUCUGUGUGAUCUCUUCUUCUUCUGCUCUCUCUCUCUCUCUCUCUCUCUAUAUAUAUAUAUAUAUCAUCAUUCAGGUUGUCAGCUGAGGGAAAACUGUGAUAGCAAGGAGAUGACAUGGUGAGGAACACUGAUGACUCUUUGUUGCACGUACAUAGUGCAAUGUGCAGGGUAAAAAGUUGGCUCAGAAGAAGCUCAGGUUUUCAACCCUUACAUUCUGUGUACUGAUGGAGCAGUAAAUCCAUCUGGGGAGGAGAGUCAUCUUCUUCUUCUUCUUCUUUUUACUCUUUACUGAACCACUCACUCCUCUGUGUGU
Molecule: long non-coding RNA, 848 nt
Organism: Musa acuminata AAA Group (dessert banana)
Lineage: Eukaryota; Viridiplantae; Streptophyta; Magnoliopsida; Zingiberales; Musaceae
Exons: 3
Source: RefSeq, a predicted model, not a curated record